CAGUCGCCGCGGGAAUACGUAGGGUGCAAGCGUUAAUCGGAAUUACUGGGCGUAAAGCGUGCGCAGGCGGUUAUAUAAGUCAGAUGUGAAAUCCCCGGGCUCAACCUGGGAACUGCAUUUGAGACUGUAUGGCUAGAGUGUGUCAGAGGAGGGUAGAAUUCCACGUGUAGCAGUGAAAUGCGUAGAUAUGUGGAGGAAUACCGAUGGCGAAGGCAGCCCCCUGGGAUAACACUGACGCUCAUGCGCGAAAGCGUGGGGAGCAAACAGGAUUAGAUACCCCUGUAGUCCCUGUCUCUUAUAC
This 301-nucleotide ribosomal RNA is filed under the name uncultured bacterium. RNAcentral describes it as "partial 16S ribosomal RNA". It matches the Rfam family "Bacterial small subunit ribosomal RNA", at positions 509 to 807 of the family's 1533-position model. The record is from RNAcentral.